Molecule: long non-coding RNA, 2796 nt
Filed under: Homo sapiens (human)
Lineage: Eukaryota; Metazoa; Chordata; Mammalia; Primates; Hominidae
Description: HSALNT0214881
Source: RNAcentral
CUGUGAGCUGAAGGUGUGCCUACACCCAUGCAAUUGUUGGGAGGAAAAAAAUAGGGAACAUAGAAUUCAUCACGUUCCCUCUCUCUCAGACCUUUAAGCUGAAAGGGCUGAGCCAGGAAGGCGUGCUGUCAUUUUUAUCAUUCUGCAAACCGAGUUGCUGGGGGCCCGAAAGCCUUGUGUUUAGAAGAAGCGUGCUUUCCAGGUUACCCUGAUGGGCAGGACCCACUCCCAUCACUAAGAGAACAUCAAAAGGGCAGGUGUGGGGGUGGAUAGGAAGAUCAGGAUCUCUGAAAGGACUCCACCUGGACCCAUGAUUCAUGACUCAACCAGUCCACCCAGAAGCUGACUCAGAGCAUAAGGAGCAUUUUCCACACCCCUAGGAUUUCAUCUCCAACCAAUCAGCAUUCCCCAUUCUCUAGCCCCUGUCCACCAAACUAUUCUUUAAAAACCUUAGCUCUAAGCUUUAUUUAUUUAUUUAAGUAAUACACUCCUGUCUUCCACUUAGCUGGUUCUGUAUUUAUUAAACUCUUUCUCUACUGCCAUACCGCUAUCUCAGUAAAUUAGCUCUAUCUGUGCAGUUGGCAAGAAGAACUGGUCAGGUGGUUAAAACACUACAGAUAGGCAUUGUUAAACAAAACAAUGGACUAAGCCCCUGCACUAGGCUCCAACAGAACAGACAAAAUCAAAAUGGAGUCACUCAUGCUAAAUGUCAUAUAAUCAAACUGAAACUCUAAGGAAGCUGAUAAAUCCUAAAACAGACCUUUUUUUUUCCUGAAAACAGGAAAUUUCAGUCUACCAGAGUCAACCUAGUAAGAAAGUUGCCUCUUCUUUGACCUUUAUGAGAAAGUAACCUGAAGUAACCUGACAUUAAUGAAUCAGCUUCUCUUCUACUAUUCUGUUUCCUUACUCCCACCUUACAAAGCUCACUGCUCUGCUUGCCCUAGUGAGAGAACUCAUUCUAUUGUGUAGAGUAGAGUCAGCCAUGAUUCAUGAAUUAUGAAUAAAAGACAAUUAGAUCUAUAACUAAGUUUGCUGUAAUUUUAUCUUUUGACAGCACUAUUGAUAUGGUUUGGAUGUUUGUCCCCUCCAAAUCUCAUAUUGAAAUGUAAUCCCCAGUGUUGAAGUUGGGGCCAAGUAGGAGUGGUGUGGGUCAUAGGGGCAGAUCCCUCAUGAAUGGCUUCGUGCCCUCCCUCACAGGAAUGAGUAGUUCCCACUCUACUAUUCAUGCAAGAGUUGGUUGUUUAGAAGAGGCCCGGCAUCUCUCUUGCUCUCUCUCUCUCACUAUGUGACACGCUGGCUCCCUUCCCCUUCUGCCAUGAUUAGAUGCUUCCUGAAGCCCUCGCCAGAGGCAGAUGCUGGCAUCAUGCUUCUGGUGCCAUGCUUGUACAGUCUGCAGAACAAUAAGCCAAAUAAAUCUCUUUUCUUUAGAAAUUACCCAGCCUCAGGCAUUCCUUUAUAGCAACACAAAAUGUACUAACACAACUAUUAUCGCCCCUAUUUUACAGAUGUGGAAACUGAGAAUCAGGAUAUUUUGUUGUCUUAGCCAAGGAAAAAUAGCAAGUAUUGUGGUGGAGAUUUGAGGCCAUCUGGUCCAGUGUCUUUGCUUUUUCCUACACCACUUUUUAAAGAUGAGGUUUUAAAAAAUGGCCCUAGUUCCUGAAUACUUGCUGUUGGGAGUAGCUGUGUUAGGAAGAGAGCUUUGGCCCAUGUCCUACCACAUAUGACUUCAGCCCUGCCUCUCUGGCCCACAGCCUGUCACCCUGUCAGAGAAGGAAAUCAGAGUCCACCAAAGUUACAGUAAUGCCCCCUAGAUGGCCAAAGAGAGAAGUAGACAAGAGUCCAUUGCCAUGGUGUUCAGCUUAGACUGGUGGGCUGGAGGCUGUUCUCAGGGUCCUACCAGCCCCACAGCUCUGGGGGAGGAGUUGGUGCAGCCACUCACAGGGGUGGGAGAGACAGCCAGAUGGGGCUGGCUCAUGCAGGCAGGGGUGGGUAAGCCUUUCUCUCCAGGAUGUCAGGGUUAUUAGGAGGGUGCCCAAGUCACUACCACAAGGUAGCCUAGAGUCUGCAUCCCCCAGGAUGUCCCCAGUCAUCCUCACCUCCUGGUAUUCAUGCCAUGGUCCAGUCCUCACCCACACUGAAUAGAGCUGACCUGUGUGACCAAUAGGAUAUUACAGAAAUGAUGGUAAAUGACUUCUGAGGCCAGGUCGUAAAAGACAUUACAGUUUCCAGCUGGCAGUUUCUUUUGGAUUAUUCUCUCUGGGGGAAGCCAACCACCAUGUCAGCAGGAUGCUCAAGCAGCCCAUGGAGACACCCAUAAAGUAGGGGACUGAAGCCUCCUACCGACAGCUAGCACAAAUUAUUUUUUGGAGACAGGAUCUCAAUUUGUCUCCCAGACAGAGUGCAGUGGUGCAGUCAUGGCUCACUGCAUCCUCAACCUCCCAGGCUCGAGAGAUCCUACCUCUUCAGCAUCCUAAGUAGCUGGGACCACAGGCAUGUGCCACCAUGCCCAGCUGAUUUUUUAAAACUUUUUUAUUUAUAGAGACAGGGUCUCCCUGUGUUGCCUAGGCUGGAUCACCAAUUUUUCACUUGUGUGUGAGAGCCACCUUGCAAGUGGGUCCUCCAGCCCUAGUCGAACCUUCAGAUGACUGCAACCCUGGCCCACAACUUGACUGUGUUAACCUAAAUAACAAAUAUAGAGAGGCUGUCUAAAAGAAAAGAUGUUUAUUUGGGACUAGAGCAUUGCAAUGGGAAUAUGUGUGCCAUAGUAAAUUAUGUGCAUAUUCAUGGAGGUAAAGG